CUCUUUACUAUGCUUUUGCUUGUAUUAGCAUCUUAUAUUGACAUUGAAUACUAUAAUUAGCAUCUGAUCUUGCACAGGGCUCACCUGAGACAUGAACAGAUUGCCCAGAGAAGUUGUGGAUGCCCCAUCCCUGGAGGUGUUCAAGACCAGGUUAGAUGAGGCCUUGAGCAACCUGAUCUAGUGGGCAGCAUCCCUGCCUAUGGCAGGGGGGUUGGAACUAGAUGAUCCUUGAGGCCCCUUCCAACCCAAGCCAUUCUAUGAUUCUACGAGAGACAAGGCACAGUCACUCAAAUCAAGGGAAUUAAUGUGCUCCCUCACAUUACCUCCUGAGGGACAUCCACAUCUACAGUGUAAAGUACAAUAAAAGACAGAAAAUUGGGUUGUUGGGACUCUGCAGAGUGAGAAGGAUGGACUGGCCAUUCUGGAUUAUACAGAUGCUGGCCUUACUUGUGAGCAGGCUUUGUUCCAUCUGGAGGUGUUAAGCAGUUUACAAAGCCACCAGCAGGAAGCCAGUCCAGCAUAUGCACCAUCGUGGGGACAGGAGACCCCUUCCAGCUGCCAAGGAUGGUGCAGGCAUUGGGGAGGCCAUUUAUCACCUGCAUGUGACACUCUUCCGUACAGGCUACAGAUCUUGAUGGAAACUCAUUUUUGUAUGAGAGUAUAAUACCUAACUCAAUAGGGCCUGCCCCUUGGACUGAAGAGUUAACACAUAACAGAAUAUUGUAUGAUUAUUUUAUAAAAUACAUGUUAAAAGCAAUUGAUUUAUUUCCUAAAUCUGUUUCUGCUUAGAGCUCUUACUGAUAACCAUGUUAAGAAUAAUAUGCAGCUCUGUUAGUACGUGUGUAUUUUUAUUUUGUUGGAUGUUUAUACAUAUGUAUCUCAUGAGGUAAAUUCUGGACAACUGUUAUUGUACCCUCCCUUUCCGGUACACCAGCUUAACUUUUACUGAAACAUGAGACAAAGAUUUUCCUGGUCUCUCAAGACCUUUUGAGAAUUGCUACAUCGAAUUAAAAUUCUAAAGCAAAGAUAUAUAGGUAAGGGAAGGCUCUUGAGCUAUACUUUUGUCCACCACUGGUAUUAAGGUAGCAUAAAGACAGACUGUCCAUUUCAGAUUAUCUGUUCUAACCUCAAACCUCCACAGGAAAGAGGGUUUUCCACAACUUUCCUGUUGUGUAAUCUGUUAGACUAUUGAAUUAUGC
RNAcentral lists this long non-coding RNA (1199 nucleotides) under Anser brachyrhynchus (Pink-footed goose). RNAcentral describes it as "lncRNA (ENSABRG00000000572.1)". Lineage: Eukaryota; Metazoa; Chordata; Aves; Anseriformes; Anatidae. The record is from RNAcentral.